GCGCCGUUAGCUCAGUUGGUAGAGCAGCUGACUCUUAAUCAGCGGGUCCAAGGUUCGAGCCCUUGACGGCGCA
This 73-nucleotide transfer RNA is filed under the name Mycolicibacterium thermoresistibile. RNAcentral's name for it is "tRNA-Lys". It matches the Rfam family "tRNA". From Rfam's summary of the family: Transfer RNA (tRNA) molecules are approximately 80 nucleotides in length. Their secondary structure includes four short double-helical elements and three loops (D, anti-codon, and T loops). Further hydrogen bonds mediate the characteristic L-shaped molecular structure. tRNAs have two regions of fundamental functional importance: the anti-codon, which is responsible for specific mRNA codon recognition, and the 3' end, to which the tRNAs corresponding amino acid is attached (by aminoacyl-tRNA synthetases). tRNAs cope with the degeneracy of the genetic code in two manners: having more than one tRNA (with a specific anti-codon) for a particular amino acid; and 'wobble' base-pairing, i.e. permitting non-standard base-pairing at the 3rd anti-codon position. Lineage: Bacteria; Bacillati; Actinomycetota; Actinomycetes; Mycobacteriales; Mycobacteriaceae. RNAcentral also lists the same sequence under 1 other name. The record is from RNAcentral.